This 450-nucleotide ribosomal RNA is filed under the name uncultured bacterium. RNAcentral describes it as "partial 16S ribosomal RNA". It matches the Rfam family "Bacterial small subunit ribosomal RNA", at positions 354 to 796 of the family's 1533-position model. The record is from RNAcentral.
GUGGGGAAUUUUGGACAAUGGGCGCAAGCCUGAUCCAGCAAUGCCGCGUGCAGGAAGAAGGCCUUCGGGUUGUAAACUGCUUUUGUACGGAACGAAACGGUCCGGGUUAAUACCCUGGGCUAAUGACGGUACCGUAAGAAUAAGCACCGGCUAACUACGUGCCAGCAGCCGCGGUAAUACGUAGGGUGCAAGCGUUAAUCGGAAUUACUGGGCGUAAAGCGUGCGCAGGCGGUGUUGUAAGACAGGCGUGAAAUCCCCGGGCUCAACCUGGGAAUUGCGCUUGUGACUGCAAGGCUGGAGUGCGGCAGAGGGGGAUGGAAUUCCGCGUGUAGCAGUGAAAUGCGUAGAUAUGCGGAGGAACACCGAUGGCGAAGGCAAUCCCCUGGGCCUGCACUGACGCUCAUGCACGAAAGCGUGGGGAGCAAACAGGAUUAGAUACCCUAGUAGUCC